RNAcentral lists this ribosomal RNA (459 nucleotides) under uncultured bacterium. Its description in RNAcentral is "bacterial SSU rRNA". It matches the Rfam family "Bacterial small subunit ribosomal RNA", at positions 33 to 507 of the family's 1533-position model. The record is from RNAcentral.
ACGCUGGCGGCGUGCCUAACACAUGCAAGUCGAACGGAGAUAUGAUUUCGGUUAUAUCUUAGUGGCGAACGGGUGAGUAACGCGUGAGCAACCUGACCUUCAGAGGGGGAUAACACUUGGGAACAGGUGCUAAUACCGCAUAAGACCACGACCCGACAUCGGGAUGCGGUCAAAGGAGCAAUCCGCUGAGGGAGGGGCUCGCGUCCCAUUAGAUAGAUGGCGGGUAACGGCCCACCAUGUCGACGAUGGGUAGCCGAGCUGAGAGGCUGAUCGGCCACACUGGAACUGAGACACGGUCCAGACUCCUACGGGAGGCAGCAGUGGGGAAUAUUGGGCAAUGGGCGCAAGCCUGACCCAGCAACGCCGCGUGAGGGAAGAAGGCCUUCGGGUUGUAAACCUCUGUCCUUGGUGACGAAACAAAUGACGGUAGCCAAGGAGGAAGCCCCGGCUAACUACGUG